This is a long non-coding RNA of Nerophis ophidion (straightnose pipefish), 244 nucleotides long. RefSeq lists it as uncharacterized. The transcript has 3 exons. NCBI's taxonomy places the organism in Eukaryota, Metazoa, Chordata, Actinopteri, Syngnathiformes, Syngnathidae. The record is from RefSeq and is a predicted model, not a curated record.
UAAUGUUUGUGCUUCAGUCCAGUCGCCCCUUUUUGACAUUCUGCUAGGAGGAAGGAAGACGCAACUGGUGUUUGCUUAGCCAAGAUGCCUGAUGUGGAGUUCUGCCUUGUGUGCGCGCUUGGAGAUAGCCCUCAUUCAUUUUUCAUGGCGCCGAGAUGUCUAUUUGCAGACGUUCAAAUGCACUUUUCCCUCAGCAAAACAAUCGCACAAAGCUGCGGGAAUAAUGCUCGCAUUUUGCCGACAU